AUGCAAUGAGCAUGGAAGAAAAGGAAAUACCUUUGAAUAGGUAGGAUUUAUAAGGCUGGUGAAAGUGAAAAGAAUUUGCAAAAGACACAACAAUUAGACAAAUACUUAGGUGUUAACACAUUUCAUAAGAUCAUAUAUGAAACUAAAAAGAGUGAGUGUGACUAAAUUAGUCAGUAUAUGAUAAGAGAAUUCAAAUUGUUAACAUAUUAAAAUAAAUAAAACAAAAGAAAACAUGGUUGAAUUGAUAAGAAAGUAAUAGAGAUACAACUAUACGUGUGCUUCGAC
Molecule: long non-coding RNA, 285 nt
Filed under: Vitis vinifera (wine grape)
Lineage: Eukaryota; Viridiplantae; Streptophyta; Magnoliopsida; Vitales; Vitaceae
Description: long non-coding RNA (VVIN_LNC001820)
Source: RNAcentral